UGGUCAAAAUACCAAUAUUGUAGAGUUAUGUCUUGUGGAAAUUUUACCACUGAUUUCAUUGCAUUUGGACUUUUGUAGACUAAGUUAUGGCCUUUUUGCCAAAACUGGUCAGGUAGGCCUAUGUCCAGCAAAUUCUGGGCAGUAUGGUUCUGGACAGUUUUGUGAUCUAACUUGGGUCAGCAAUUUGGUUUGGUUAAAAACAUUUCUGGGCUCUGUGUUCUUCAUGAAAGUUGUA
Molecule: unclassified non-coding RNA, 235 nt
Filed under: Hevea brasiliensis (rubber tree)
Lineage: Eukaryota; Viridiplantae; Streptophyta; Magnoliopsida; Malpighiales; Euphorbiaceae
Source: RNAcentral